RNAcentral lists this ribosomal RNA (550 nucleotides) under uncultured archaeon. Its description in RNAcentral is "bacterial SSU rRNA". It matches the Rfam family "Archaeal small subunit ribosomal RNA", at positions 329 to 879 of the family's 1478-position model. The record is from RNAcentral.
GGGGCAGCAGGCGCGAAAACUUUACAAUGCUGGAAACAGCGAUAAGGGGACCUCGAGUGCCAGGUUACAAAUCUGGCUGUCGUGAUGCCUAAAAAGCAUUGCAUAGCAAGGGCCGGGCAAGACCGGUGCCAGCCGCCGCGGUAACACCGGCGGCUCGAGUGGCAACCGUUAUUAUUGGGUCUAAAGGGUCUGUAGCCGGCCGGAUAAGUCUCUUGGGAAAUCCAGCAGCUCAACUGUUGGGCUUUCAGGAGAUACUGUCUGGCUCGAGGCCGGGAGAGGUGAGAGGUACUUCAGGGGUAGGGGUGAAAUCUUGUAAUCCUUGAAGGACCACCAGUGGCGAAGGCGUCUCACCAGAACGGACCUGACGGCAAGGGACGAAAGCUAGGGGCACGAACCGGAUUAGAUACCCGGGUAGUCCUAGCCGUAAACGAUACUCGCUAGGUGUCGGCCGCGGUGCGACCGUUGUCGGUGCCGUAGGGAAGCCGUGAAGCGAGCCACCUGGGAAGUACGGCCGCAAGGCUGAAACUUAAAGGAAUUGGCGGGGGAGCAC